GCGUGGAUGAUGAAGGCCCUAGGGUUGUAAAAUCCUUUCGUCAGGGACGAUAAUGACGGUACCUGAAGAAGAAGCCCCGGCUAACUUCGUGCCAGCAGCCGCGGUAAUACGAAGGGGGCUAGCGUUGUUCGGAUUUACUGGGCGUAAAGCGCGUGUAGGCGGGUCGUUAAGUUAGGGGUGAAAUCCCAAGGCUCAACCUUGGAACUGCCUCUAAAACUGGCGACCUGGAGCAGAUGAGAGGCGAGUGGAAUUCCGAGUGUAGAGGUGAAAUUCGU
RNAcentral lists this ribosomal RNA (275 nucleotides) under uncultured bacterium. Its description in RNAcentral is "partial 16S ribosomal RNA". It matches the Rfam family "Bacterial small subunit ribosomal RNA", at positions 399 to 691 of the family's 1533-position model. The record is from RNAcentral.